AACGUGGAGACAGGUGGUGCACGGCUGUCGUCAGCUCGUGUCGUGAGAUGUUGGGUUAAGUCCCGCAACGAGCGCAACCCUCACCCCUAGUUGCGACCGGGUUAUGCCGAGCACUCGAGGGGAACUGCCAGCGUCAAGCUGGAGGAAGGCGGGGAUGACGUCAAGUCAUCAUGCCCCUUACGUCCUGGGCUACACACGUACUACAAUGGCCGGUACAAAGGGAUGCCACACCGCGAGGUAGAGCUAAACCCAAAAAGCCGGUCUAAGUUCAGAUUGGAGUCUGCAACUCGACUCCAUGAAGGAGGAAUCGCUAGUAAUCGCGUAUCAGCACGACGCGGUGAAUACGUUCCCGGGCCUUGUACACACCGCCCGUCACACCACGAAAGCCUGCUGUACUCGAAGUCGCUGAG
This 410-nucleotide ribosomal RNA is filed under the name uncultured Methylomirabilota bacterium. RNAcentral describes it as "bacterial SSU rRNA". It matches the Rfam family "Bacterial small subunit ribosomal RNA", at positions 1025 to 1434 of the family's 1533-position model. The record is from RNAcentral. Lineage: Bacteria; Methylomirabilota (SeqCode).